UUUCCGUAGGUGAACCUGCGGAAGGAUCAUUCAUAAUAAGUGUUUUAUGGCACUUUUUUAAAUCCAUAUCCACCUUGUGUGCAAUGUUAGGGUUGAUUUUUCUCUCGAGAGGAUCAACCCCAAACAUCAACUAUAUCUCAACUCUUUGUCUGAAAAAUAUUAUGAAUAAAACAAUUCAAAAUACAACUUUCAACAACGGAUCUCUUGGCUCUC
This 213-nucleotide unclassified non-coding RNA is filed under the name plant metagenome. RNAcentral describes it as "partial contains small subunit ribosomal RNA, internal transcribed spacer 1, and 5.8S ribosomal RNA". The record is from RNAcentral.